UGUUGAUGAUCUUGAUUCCGUCACUCCUUCCCACGUGGAUUCCAUCGGUGUUGGGACUCUCUUCAGGGGCUACGAUCCUGAUGUCUUCGAAUGUCAGGUUCUUUGCCCCGAUCACGUUAAUGUGGAAGUUCUUUGCAUCUAACGAGGUUAUGUCUCUUACCUUACCGUCAGUUAUGUAAUCAAACCGUAUGCUCUGUUCAACAAUGACAAAACAUCAACAAACUAACAAUGCUAUUUGCUAUUUAGCUGAGUUAUUAUAGAUAAAAGAUAGACAACAUACGAUAGGGAGUCUCUUGCACUGAGUUAAUGACGUCUUGUGGCAGUUAUUAGCCCUCCAUGAAGCGUUACCUUCACCGUCAAAGAUACCACCUCCGUUCAAUCUAAAGUUAGUAAUCCUGCGGAAAGCGACCCAAAAGUCCUUCCCGUUAACGUUCCCAUCAGCUCUCACAGUGCCUUGAAGAACAAAUAUUAUAGGAGCUUUGCAUGGACCCAUCAUCUCUAUUUCCCCAAGCUUGAAUUCACCUUUUGGGAUCAAAACGGUGCUCUUGUCCACGCACUGACAUGCCUCCUUGAAUAGUUUCGACAAUUCCUGCAUCCCAAAGAUCUUAAGAUUUCUUGGAGAACAAGAACACUAAUUGGUUAAUGGGAAGAUUAAUAAAGUAGCAGAAAAACUUACGCCGGUGAUAUCAGAACCUGGACGAGCAGUGAUUCUGAAUUCUCUAGCAUUUGCUGAUAAAGCUAACAAACAAAAAACAAAGAAUGCUGAUACUCCAAAAUGUACACCCAUUGCUGAGAUUUAUUCUAGUCACUAGUGAUUACAGAUUUUUUUAUGUUUUUUCUUUUUGUAAAUCACUAGGUUUUUUUUUUAAUAUAUAAAAAUUUAGUUUUCGUAUUUAUGUUUUGUUCCUUGAUUUGUCUGCCAUUAUAUAGUCUCUGAGAGGAGAGAGUUUUUAAAGUUGGGUUUCUUAUCCACCGUUCCUUUCACCUCUUCUUACCGAUAUUCUUGGAAACUUUUUAGUCGGAGUUUGACAUAGACAAACACUAAUAAUACCAUUGCUUAAAAAUAAAGCUUAUAUUACCUUAAUGCACAUCAAUUGGAGACAAAAAAAAUUUCAAAUAUCUAUAAAUUUAAAUUCAUUUAUUAAUUCAGGAAAAUAUACAUGUAUGCCCAAAAAUAUUUCCCCAAUUCUAUCGUUCGGCAUGUUUCUCGUUUAUGCUGCAUGUUAUGCACAUGGUGCACCCAGUCUUCAUUCAGCAGGAUUCAUGUCAAUACAGUUUUAUCUUUGUAGAUAUCUAAACCUUUUAAUUAAUUGUUUUAGUUUCGUUAGUUAAAAAAAAAAAUAACUAAAAAAUUCUUCUUGAAUGCCAAAGACACAUAAAUUAAUAAGUUUGGGUAUGAAGGAAGUAAUAGUGAAUUUAGUUUUGGCUAGGGAACAUGAGGAUAUGCAAGAAUAGCACUAUCUUUCUCUACCACUGUGAGAACAAACACUGGCUAUGAUGUAUGUCUUGUAGAAUUUUAUGAGAAUGCAUGGUGUGGUUUACAGUGAUCCGACUUAUAGAGGAUCGAAAUCUGAGCAAGAGUGUAACAUUUCGAGCUGUUAUAUAUGAUGUACGGAAGUGCUUAAGAAAAUUGAUUUGACUACCUACAUCACCAAAGUGCGCUUAUCUUUUCUGGUACACAUCCGUUUAGAACUUCGGAGUUAAUCGUAUUUGAACUGGAGUAAUGGAAUGAUAAGUGACCUAUCGAGAAGUGAUUCACGAUAGCGUGCGAGUGAGGCCAAAAAACAGGAAAAUGUCAUGUGGUGAUUGCAUGGAUCAGUAAACAAUAAUUUUGAGCCUUCGGAAAAUUAACGCACCGCUCGUUAAAUGGGAUAGGGCCCACGGGUCGAGUGAGCGGGCGUGAGUGACCCAUUAGCCGUGGGCGGUCGGAGCGUAACAAGUGGUGUCAGAACUGGUUAGACAUCUCGAUUCUGACCCGAGAGGCGUCUUGAGACAUGUCGUAGGACGCAACGAGGACGUUGCGUUCUUUGAGAAGGGUGAAUUGUAACAUUCCGAGUUAUGAUAUAUGGAAGAGCUUAAGAGAAUUAAUUUGGCUACAUAUGUCACUAAUGUGCGCUUAACUUUUAUGACACACAUAUGUUUAGAACUCUAGAGUUAAGCGUACUUGAACUGCAGUAGUAGAAUGAUAGGUGACCUAUCGGAAAGUGAUUCAUGAUAGCGUGCGAGGGAGGCCAAAGAACGGAGAAAAUUCAUGUGGUGAUUGCAGGAUCAGUAAACAAUAAUUUCGACCUUUCAAAAAAUUAACGCACCGUUCGUCAGAUGGGAUGAGGCCCACAGGCCGAAUGAGCGGGCUUGGAUGGCCCAUUAGUUGUGGAAGGUCGGAGCGUCACGAAUGAAUUACACAGAGACAAGUCGAGUUUAUGAAUAAUUUUGCACAAAUAUUUUUGAAAAAAAUAUCAUAUAAACUAUUCUGAUGUGGUUUUAUUUACAGUUUUAAUAUAUUGACGAUGCAUGAAUUGCUAUUUAGAACAUCUUUAUUCAUAGUACUAUGGAAAAAUUCUCAACAAAACAAUACUGAAAAUAUAGUUGAUAUAUUCAUGGGGUUCCCAAAAUCUUGAGAUAUGCAUGCAAUUGCCUCAAUUAUGAGUAUCUCAUUUUUGAAAACCACACAUAUACAUGUUAAUUAGAACUGAAGUCAAGACCUUGAACCCACCUAGUCCUAUAAAUUACUUGUUUAGAUUUAGUUUUAUAUGAUCCCAAAAUGAUUUUUUCUAACUAAGCUUAUUUGGACUUUAGAUUUUUGGUCUGAAAUCCAUUUGGAUUAAGACUAGCCCGAAAAAACUAAAUCUUUAUAUGUUUUAAUUUAUAUGUGAUUAUUUAAAUCUUGUCAAAUUUGAUUUGUCUAUAAUUUGAUUUUAAAGUUUAUGAAAAACACUUCUGUUAAAGAGGAAAAUUUUAAACAGAUUUUAUAUUCUAAGACAAAAAGUUGAAACCGAUUUUUAUGAAAAUUUGGAUGUUUUAAAACGGUAAAAUGAUAGAUAUAACAAUAUAAUUAAUAAUUUCGAAAACCCUUAUAGUUCUUUUAGAACUGUGUGAUCUUUCUUUUGCGGGCCGAACCAGGCUAAGUUUAAAUAAUAAUAAAUUUUAUAAGUUUUGGGUCGGGCUGCAGCGCACUAGCCCAAUUGACACCCACAACAUAUAAAGAUACUAUGUUUUUUUUAUUGUUUUGUUGAGAACUUUUCCUCCGUACUAGAGAUGGAAAUGUUCUUUUUUUUUUUUGUCGGGGAUUUAUUUAGAUAUUACAAUUAUGAGAAAGAUUACAAAGACGAUUCGAUUACCGAUAAUACUACCUGCCUUAUGAGGAUCUACGCCUAACUGUCUCAUUUGAGCCGUCCUAUGAAGAUCACGCCUGACCGGAUUUACUUGCACCAUGUUGAGAAACUCUUGUAAGCCUUUCUUCCGUAAUCGCAUAAUUGUUGAAUAAAUCGUUUGCUCCGGGAAUUGAAACCUGGAUUUCCUGUGCAAUCUGCAAGAAAUUGCAUAGUCUGGGAUUUGAACCCCAGACCUGAGUGUAGAAGCCUUUAAACCAUAACCACUAGACUACGGUGCUUCCACAGAUGGAAAUGUUCUUAGUACAUGGUUUUGACUUAGAGCAUCCACAGCGUUAAAAGACUAUAUUGAGUUCUUUAAAAUUGAAAAGUAAAACAAACAUGUGGAGGGAAAGUUUCUUUAAGAACAAGAAGAGUACGGUCGCAGAGAAACUUCUCUGAUUUUCUUUCUUACUUUACCUAUUUGUUAAAAUUUUUUAAUCUCUUGAAACUGAUUUGAGAUACUAGCACUGUGGAUGCCUUUAGAACACCUCUAAUGGUGAGUAUUAGAAUAGGUUAUAAGCAUUUAAGAAAAAAAAAACAAAAUAAAGAAAUUAGAAGAGAAAAGACCAAAAAUUCUUAUUUUAGAAUUUUUUAAAAAUUCUUAAUAUCUUUAAGAGACACAUGUUAUCAUGUGAUAGGAAAUUAAUGUUUUGUUUGGUUUAGAAAAAAAGAACAUGAAUGAAUAAUUAUAAUAGUAAUAUUUUGUUGUUUUUAGAAACAUGUAUGGUAUCUAUCCGUUGGAGUUGCUCUUAGAAUGAUAAUACUUGCAGGGUUUCUAUAAAAAAAAAUAUUAUAGCUAUUUAGUUUUUUUUAUACACGUUGAAACAUUGUCUAAAGGACAAAUUUUUUUUAAAAUACCAAACCGGUUAGUAAUUAAGAACUUUUGUGAUGUUUCUCUUUUCUAAAUUAUUAGUUUUCAUUUAUUUUUAUCAAAAACUCUUUUUCACUUCCACGUCGAGGUGCUCUUAUCUAGACUGAGACAAGCUGAACAACUUCUCUUGGCGAAUCCUAUUUACAUUUCCGUGGGGCGAAACUGUUGGGUUUUCCUCCAUUAACCAAAUCCAACUAAUAAGUGGAUAAGGAUGAUGAAUAAAAUCUAAUAAAGAUUAGAGAGUGUUUAUAGAAUUAGCUUGUUACCUUCACUAGUAUAAGUAAGAUGUUUUAUUUCUUUUUUUUUUCUGAAACACAAAUAAGAUGUUUUAAUAGCAUUUGUAUUUUGUAAUCUAUCCAAGAACAAACACUAAGAAAGCAAAUCUAAGCGAGAAACAUUUUUUUGAGAGUGAUCACAAAAAGAGUUUUUUUUUACUAAAUUCUCUUUCCUAAAAGCACUCGCAAUGAGAAUCUUUAAAGAAGAGUCGUUAAUAAAAAAAUAAUUAAAUAAUCAGUAGAGUCCACCAAAAGCUAAUGAUUUAAAAUUCUUAAAUAAAGACUAUUUUUUAGUGAUUCUUUGCACUAUUUGCGGGUCCCCAUGACAUGUGCUGACCCACGAUUGGUUGAUAUUAUUAUUUUUUUAAUCUAAAAAAAAAGAAAAAAUAAUACUUAAAAAAUCAAAAUAUACUGUUUCUAAGUACUCUCUUUGGAUAACACCAUUGCGGGUGCUCUAAAUAGAAACGUCUUUCUAUAAUUUGAAGUUGUCUCCUCCCAUAUCAAACUUGUGAAAGACAUUCGGCUAGCUUUCCCAACAGAAACCUCUUCACCACCUUUCCCUAGCUAAAUGGAGUAUCCUGAUCCAUCGAGUUUUGGCUCACAUGGUAUGAUUGAUUAGAUGAUAUUGUUGAGGUCUAGGGACCAGGUUUUAACAGAAGUCGGUCAUGUUUUCUUAUUCGUAUGACUAGAAAAUCAAAUCACUGUUCAUUAGACCUUCAUGUUGUAUAACAUCUGCAAAAUAAAUCUUUUUAAUGACUAGGAAGUUUUGAACACGAAAACACGCAGAAUAAUUCUUUUUACAGCGCAGAUCUCUCCCAAAAAAAUAACUAUAUAAAUUCUAGUUGACAACAAAAAUCUUGUGCAAAUGUAAUAUGCAUGCAUACUCAAUUUUAUUAUUUCAGGUGUUUGAUUUCAAACAUCGAUCUGAUAAUGGGAUUUGGAUGUAACCAAAAGGAACAAAAGGCAAACUUAAAUCCGUACCAGAUCAUCAUAGAGCAUCCAUGCAUCUUCCCAUUUACUAUACUUACUAGGUGUUUUACCCGCGAUGCGGGCUUAAACAUUUUCAUAAAUUUUUGAAAAGUUCUUUGUAUACUAUUCUAGUUAUAUGUGUUUUCCAAAAAGAAUUCUUGCGAUCAAUUUAGUAUCAUCUAUGCAUUGUCUACUCUCGAAUAUAUAAAUAUAUAUAUUUCUGAACAAUUAAAUAUUAAAAUAUUUUAGUGGUAUAAUUUAAACUUGGGUCUCUAGUCAAAAAACAAAACUUGUUCCAAUUUAUGUAAAGAAUAUUAUUUUUUGAAUGAGCAAAGAUUUAAGGAUAGUUAUUUUUUAAGAACAUUAACUUUUAUUUCUGAACAAUUAAAUAUUAAAAUAUUUUAGUGUUAUAAUUUAAACUUGGGUCUCUAGUCAAAAAAACAAAACUUGUUUCCAAUUUAUGUAAAGAAUAUUUUUUUUUUUUGUGAAUGAGCAAAUAUUUAAGGAUGGCUAUUAGCAAAUAAAUGUUUGAGAACUUUAAUUUUUUUUUUUUGAGAUUCUACUGCUAUAAUAGUUUAAGGGUUUUUGAAAUAUUACUAAUUAAUUGUUCUUGAUUCGAAGAUUUUCAAAUUUCAUCAAAAUUCUUUAUUUAUUUAUGAUAAUAGAUUUUCAUUCAAUUUUAACAAAAUUAACUUUAUUAAAAUAUAAUUUCCUUUUUUAUUCAUAAGAUACAACUUUAAAAAUAUUUUGACAAUUAAAAUAAUGGAUGUAAGAUUUAAAAUCCGCUAUGUAAUUUUAUUUGAAUAUCACAACAACAAUUUACAUAGCGGUAGAGUUUAGGUCUUUUAGCUUAAGUUUUAAGAUUAUUUUAGUGUUUAGGGUUGUAGAGUUUAGCGUUAGAUGAGAUUUAUGGUUAGGUUUAUGUAGGGUUUUUAGGAUUAGGUUUAGGCAGGGUUUAGGGUUAGCAGGGUUUAGGGUUAGGUACGGUUUUUAGGGUUAGGCAGGGUUUAGGGUUAGGAAAGGUUUAGGGUUAGAAAGGUUUAGGGUUAGGUAGGGUUAGGGUUAAAAAGGGUUUAGGGUAGGUAGAGUUUAGGGUUAGUAGGGUUCUGGUUAGGUAGGGCUUAGGGUUAGGUAGGGUUUAGGGUUGGUAGGGUUAGGNNNNNNNNNNNNNNNNNNNNNNNNNNNNNNNNNNNNNNNNNNNNNNNNNNNNNNNNNNNNNNNNNNNNNNNNNNNNNNNNNNNNNNNNNNNNNNNNNNNNUUACUAUUCUUCAUAAUAAUCAAUUAUCUAAUCAAAAUCAAUUAAAAUUUCGUUUUUAUUUUUUAAUUUAUUUAUACAUUUUAUUCAUUAAGGGUUAUAAACGAUAUUAACCACUCUAACUUUCAACGUGAGAGUUUCAUUGCAAAAAUUUACUUCGCAAAUAGUAGUAUAGAUUGCAGUGAAAUCUUAGUUUCUCAUUGCUAUCUUAGAUUUUUUACAAAAACGACGCAUUUUAUACAAUCAAUCAAUAAAGCUAGCAAAAAAUGCAAAAUUUGGGGGCCAAAGCGGCAAAAUAAACAGUUUUUUUUUUACAAAGAAUCAAAGGAAAUAACAUACACUAGGGUGUACAUUUAGAGUAUAUUUUAUAUAUACACUCCGAGCUUCUAGUGGCCUGGUAGCUUCGUCACUGGGCUGCUACAAGCUUUAGGGCACUGUUUCCCCACCAACUUCGGAGAUACGUUGGAGCACUGGAACGUUGCUGGACCGUCUUUUCCAUUAUAUGUAAUAUCAAUGUCGCCGAUCUCCACGUUCUUACACGGAAAUCCCUUGCACAAUAGCUUCACUGCGUCUUUGUUCCCUGAUGAUCCUUUGAUAUUCUUGAACUUUAUGUCCACCAGCUUGAUGGAUGAUGGUUUCUACAAACAAAUAAAACAAUUGAAAAUGAUAAUCAUGGACUAUGAUCGUUAAGAUUUUCUUGAAAAGUACUUUUCUGUACGUACAUUCUUGUUGCAUCGGUUCCAGGGGCAGUACUCUGGUCGAUGAGGAUAGGGUUGCUAACAUUGUGGAGAAUAAUAUUCUCGAAAUGGAUACCAGAGGCGGUCGUGGAGCAAGCUGCAGAGGGCCAUGUCUUGAUUCUCACACCAUUGUCAGUAUUUCUGAGGGUGCAGUUCACGACCUUGACGCCAGUGACGUCUUCCUCGUGCCCGUAUAAUCCGAGGCUUCCAAUACUGAUUCCGUGUCCCGGACCGCAUGAAACUCUUUCGACAAGAAGGUUUUUCAUCCCGUCCCCAACAGAGAUACAGUCAUCUCCGGUUUUGAUGUUGGUGUUGAUGAUCUUGAUUCCGUCACUCCUUCCCACGUGGAUUCCAUCGGUGUUGGGACUCUCUUCAGGGGCUACGAUCCUGAUGUCUUCGAAUGUCAGGUUCUUUGCCCCGAUCACGUUAAUGUGGAAGUUCUUUGCAUCUAACGAGGUUAUGUCUCUUACCUUACCGUCAGUUAUGUAAUCAAACCGUAUGCU
This 7981-nucleotide long non-coding RNA is filed under the name Brassica rapa (field mustard). RNAcentral's name for it is "long non-coding RNA (BRAP_LNC001563)". The record is from RNAcentral. Lineage: Eukaryota; Viridiplantae; Streptophyta; Magnoliopsida; Brassicales; Brassicaceae.